RNAcentral lists this ribosomal RNA (499 nucleotides) under Acanthophrynus coronatus. Its description in RNAcentral is "partial large subunit ribosomal RNA". It matches the Rfam family "Eukaryotic large subunit ribosomal RNA", at positions 1363 to 1821 of the family's 3401-position model. The record is from RNAcentral. Lineage: Eukaryota; Metazoa; Arthropoda; Arachnida; Amblypygi; Phrynidae.
GACACGGGAUGCUUACGCCGCGGUGAGUAGGAGGGUCGCAGCGGCGAGCGUUGAAGGUGCCGGGCGCGAGCCCGCCUGGAGCCGCCGCUGGUGCAGAUCUUGGUGGUAGUAGCAAAUACUCAAGUGAGAACCUUGAGGACUGAGGUGGAGAAGGGUUCCAUGUGAACAGCAGUUGAACAUGGGUCAGUCGGUCCUAAGGGAUAGGAGAAAUCCGUUCCGAAGCGGGUGUUUUUUGACGUUGUGCCCGCCGGUCGACCGAAAGGGAAUCGGGUUAAUAUUCCCGAACCCGGACGCGGAGAUCGGCCUCUCGGGGCCAAGUGCGGCGACGCAACCGAACUCGGAGAUGUCGACGGGAGUCCCGGGAAGAGUUGUCUUUUCUUUGUAAGGGCUCGGCUCCCUGGAAUCGGCUCGUCCGGAGAUAGGGAUGCUGUUCCCGUAAAGCACCGCGGCUCUUGCGGUGUCCGGAGCGCUCCCGUCGGCCCUUGAAAAUCCGAGGGAG